AGCGAACGUUAGCGGCGGGCCUAACACAUGCAAGUCGAACGGAUUGUAGCAAUACAGUCAGUGGCGCACGGGUGAGUAACGCGUAGGGGAUCUACCCUUAGUAGGGGGAUAACGUUUCGAAAGGAACGCUAAUACCGCAUAAGCCCACGAUGAGAAGUCAUUGAGGGAAAAGGUGGCGCCUGCAAGGGGCUAUUGACUAAGGAUGACCCUGCGUCCCAUCAGCUAGUUGGAGAGGUAAAGGCUCACCAAGGCGAAGACGGGUAGCUGGUCUGAGAGGAUGGACAGCCACACUGGCACUGGAACACGGGCCAGACUCCUACGGGAGGCAGCAGUGGGGAAUAUUGGGCAAUGGGCGAAAGCCUGACCCAGCCACGCCGCGUGAGUGAUGAAGGCCUUCGGGUUGUAAAGCUCUGUGGGAAGGGGCGAAAGGCAUAUAGAGUAAUAUGAUAUAUGUUUGACGGUACCUAUUUAGCAAGCACCGGCUAACUCUGUG
This 493-nucleotide ribosomal RNA is filed under the name uncultured organism. RNAcentral describes it as "bacterial SSU rRNA". It matches the Rfam family "Bacterial small subunit ribosomal RNA", at positions 29 to 507 of the family's 1533-position model. The record is from RNAcentral.